CCUACGGGAGGCAGCAGUGGGGGAUAUUGCACAAUGGGGGAAACUCUGAUGCAGCGACGCCGCGUGAGUGAAGAAGUAUUUCGGUAUGUAAAGCUCUAUCAGCAGGGAAGAAAAUGACAGUACCUGACCAAGAAGCCCCGGCUAACUACGUUCCAGCAGCCGCGGUAAUACGUAGGGGGCAAGCGUUAUCCGGAUUUACUGGGUGUAAAGGGAGCGUAGACGGUUGUGUAAGUCUGCAGUGAAACCCCGGGGCUCAACUCCGGGACUGCUUUGGAAACUGUACGGCUGGAGAGCAGGAGCGGUAGGCGGAAUGUCUAGUGUAGCGGUGAAAGGCGUAGAGAUUAUGAGGAACACCAGUGGCGAAGGCGGCUUACUAGACUGUAACUGACGUUGAGGCACGAAAGCGUGGGGAGCAAACAGGAUUAGAUACCCGAGUAGUC
This 440-nucleotide ribosomal RNA is filed under the name uncultured bacterium. RNAcentral describes it as "partial 16S ribosomal RNA". It matches the Rfam family "Bacterial small subunit ribosomal RNA", at positions 338 to 795 of the family's 1533-position model. The record is from RNAcentral.